This 106-nucleotide small RNA is filed under the name Flavobacterium sp. RNAcentral describes it as "6S RNA". It matches the Rfam family "6S-Flavo RNA". The record is from RNAcentral. Lineage: Bacteria; Pseudomonadati; Bacteroidota; Flavobacteriia; Flavobacteriales; Flavobacteriaceae.
ACUCAACACUAACAAUUUAGAAUGAGCAAAUCAUCGCUACUAAAGCAUGCUGCCCCGAGCAGAAACUUGAACAGCGAGUUAGCUCAAAACUUGUCUUUACGAGUUU